Acanthosepion pharaonis is the source of this 98-nucleotide non-coding RNA. Lineage: Eukaryota; Metazoa; Mollusca; Cephalopoda; Sepiida; Sepiidae. The record is from the annotation of a GenBank genome assembly.
UUGAAACACAGGUUCUUGUAUGAUCACCAAAGUUAAACAAUGUUGAGCCUGGUCAAUACCUAGGUGGGUGACCACUUGGGAAUACCAGGUGCUGUAUG